This 450-nucleotide ribosomal RNA is filed under the name uncultured OPB56 group bacterium. RNAcentral describes it as "bacterial SSU rRNA". It matches the Rfam family "Bacterial small subunit ribosomal RNA", at positions 346 to 795 of the family's 1533-position model. The record is from RNAcentral. Lineage: Bacteria; Pseudomonadati; Bacteroidota; Eximiradiia.
GGGCAGCAGUGAGGAAUAUUGGUCAAUGGGAGCAAUCCUGAACCAGCAAUGCCGCGUGUGGGAUGACAGGGCUUCGCCUUGUAAACCACUGUCGGACGGGACGAAAGGAGGCCACGGGCCUCUGGGACGGUACCGUCAAAGGAAGGGUCGGCUAACUACGUGCCAGCAGCCGCGGUAAUACGUAGGACCCGAGCGUUGUCCGGAUUUACUGGGUAUAAAGGGUGCGUAGGCGGCCUUGUGCGUCAGAGGUGAAAUAUCCGGGCUUAACCCGGAGGGUGCCUUUGAUACGGCAGGGCUUGAGUGCGAGAGAGGAUGAUGGAAUUCCUGGUGUAGCGGUGAAAUGCGUAGAUAUCAGGAGGAACACCGGUGGCGAAGGCGGUCAUCUGGCUCGUAACUGACGCUGAGGCACGAAAGCGCGGGGAUCAAACAGGAUUAGAUACCCUGGUAGUC